CCUACGGGUGGCAGCAGUGAGGAAUAUUGGUCAAUGGGCGAGAGCCUGCACCAGCCAAGUCGCGUGAAGGAUGACGGCCCUACUGGUUGUACACUUCUUUUGUCAGGGAGCAAUUGGGUCCACGCGUGGGCUUAGCGAGAGUACCUGAAGAAAAAGCAUCUGCUAACUCCGUGCCAGCAGCCGCGGUAAUACGGAGGAUGCGAGCGGUAUCCGGAUUUAUUGGGUUUAAAGGGUGCGUAGGCGGAAUAUCAAGUCAGCGGUAAAAAUUCGGGGCGCCACCCCGUCGUGCCGUUGAAACUGAUGUUCGUGAGUGGGCGAGAAGUAAGCGGAAUGCGUGGUGUAGCGGUGAAAUGCUUAGAUAUCACGAAGAACCCCGAUUGCGAAGGCAGCCUGCCGCAGCGUUACUGACGCUGAAGCUCGAAAGCGCGGGUAUCGAACAGGAUUAGAUACCCCAGUAGGC
Molecule: ribosomal RNA, 460 nt
Filed under: uncultured bacterium
Lineage: Bacteria
Description: partial 16S ribosomal RNA
Rfam family: Bacterial small subunit ribosomal RNA
Source: RNAcentral